Molecule: ribosomal RNA, 809 nt
Filed under: uncultured bacterium
Lineage: Bacteria
Description: bacterial SSU rRNA
Rfam family: Bacterial small subunit ribosomal RNA
Source: RNAcentral
CGAGGGGCAGCGAGUAGAUUGCUUGCAAUCUACGUCGGCGACCGGCGCACGGGUGCGUAACGCGUAUGCAACCUACCCAUUACAGGGGGAUAACACUGAGAAAUCGGUACUAAUACCCCAUAACAUCCAGGGAGGCAUCUUCUUGGGUUGAAAACUCCGGUGGUAAUGGAUGGGCAUGCGUUGUAUUAGUUAGUUGGUGGGGUAACGGCUCACCAAGACGACGAUACAUAGGGGGACUGAGAGGUUAACCCCCCACAUUGGUACUGAGACACGGACCAAACUCCUACGGGAGGCAGCAGUGAGGAAUAUUGGUCAAUGGACGCAAGUCUGAACCAGCCAUGCCGCGUGCAGGAAGACGGCUCUAUGAGUUGUAAACUGCUUUUGUACGAGGGUAAACGCAGAUACGUGUAUCUGUCUGAAAGUAUCGUACGAAUAAGGAUCGGCUAACUCCGUGCCAGCAGCCGCGGUAAUACGGAGGAUUCAAGCGUUAUCCGGAUUUAUUGGGUUUAAAGGGUGCGUAGGCGGUCGGAUAAGUUAGAGGUGAAAUCCCGGGGCUCAACUUCGGAAUUGCCUCUGAUACUGUUCGGCUAGAGAGUAGUUGCGGUAGGCGGAAUGUAUGGUGUAGCGGUGAAAUGCUUAGAGAUCAUACAGAACACCGAUUGCGAAGGCAGCUUACCAAGCUACUUCUGACGUUGAGGCACGAAAGCGUGGGGAGCAAACAGGAUUAGAUACCCUGGUAGUCCACGCAGUAAACGAUGAUAACUCGUUGUCGGCGAUACAAUGUCGGUGACUAAGCGAAAGCGAUAAGU